AACGAACGCUGGCGGCAUGCCUAACAUAUGCAAGUCGAACGAAACCUUCAGGUCUUGUCGCGCCCGGCUUCGUCACCCGUGGGAACCUGCCCUUAGGUUCGGCCUAACUCCCCGACAGGGGUGCUAAUACCAGAUCAUGUCUUCUGACCAAAGAUUUAUCGACGUUGGAUGUGCCCGCGUUGGAUUAGCUAGUUGGUAGGGUAAUAGCAUACCACGGCGACGAUCCAUAGCUGGUCAGAGAGGAUGAGCAGCCACACUGGGACUAAGACACGGCCCAGAAUCCUACGGGAGGCAGCAGUGGGGAAUAGUGGAAAAUGGGGGAAGGGAUGAACCAGCAAUGCCGGGUGAGUGAUGAAGGCCGGAGGGUUGUAAAGUUCAUUUAACCGGGAUGAUAAUGACAGUACCGGGAGAAUAAGCUCCGGCUAACUACGUG
RNAcentral lists this ribosomal RNA (433 nucleotides) under uncultured bacterium. Its description in RNAcentral is "partial 16S ribosomal RNA". It matches the Rfam family "Bacterial small subunit ribosomal RNA", at positions 29 to 507 of the family's 1533-position model. The record is from RNAcentral.